CAAUAGCGUAUAUUAAAGUUGUUGCGGUUAAAAAGCUCGUAGUUGGAUUUCGGCGGACAGGGGGCGGUUCGAUAUUUGUCGCUACUGCCCCAUUUGUCCGUGUUUUUGGCGGAGGUUUCAGGGUGCUCUUCACCGAGUGGCCUGGGAUGCCGUCAGGUUUACUUUGAAAAAAUUAGAGUGCUCAAAGCAGGCUUUACACGCUUGAAUAUUCGUGCAUGGAAUAAUGGAAUAGGACGUCGUUUCUAUUUUGUUGGUUUUCGGAAAUCGACGUAAUGAUUAACAGGGACAGUCGGGGGCAUUAGUAUUCAGACGACAGAGGUGAAAUUCUUGGACCGUCUGAAGACUAACUACUGCGAAAGCAUUUGCCAAGAAUGUUUUCAUUAA
Molecule: ribosomal RNA, 384 nt
Filed under: uncultured eukaryote
Lineage: Eukaryota
Description: partial 18S ribosomal RNA
Rfam family: Eukaryotic small subunit ribosomal RNA
Source: RNAcentral